Molecule: ribosomal RNA, 2109 nt
Filed under: Salmonella enterica subsp. enterica serovar Hadar
Lineage: Bacteria; Pseudomonadati; Pseudomonadota; Gammaproteobacteria; Enterobacterales; Enterobacteriaceae
Description: partial 23S ribosomal RNA
Rfam family: Bacterial large subunit ribosomal RNA
Source: RNAcentral
AGACCCGAAACCCGGUGAUCUAGCCAUGGGCAGGUUGAAGGUUGGGUAACACUAACUGGAGGACCGAACCGACUAAUGUUGAAAAAUUAGCGGAUGACCUGUGGCUGGGGGUGAAAGGCCAAUCAAACCGGGAGAUAGCUGGUUCUCCCCGAAAGCUAUUUAGGUAGCGCCUCGUGAAUUCAUCUCCGGGGGUAGAGCACUGUUUCGGCUAGGGGGCCAUCCCGGCUUACCAACCCGAUGCAAACUGCGAAUACCGGAGAAUGUUAUCACGGGAGACACACGGCGGGUGCUAACGUCCGUCGUGAAGAGGGAAACAACCCAGACCGCCAGCUAAGGUCCCAAAGUCAUGGUUAAGUGGGAAACGAUGUGGGAAGGCCCAGACAGCCAGGAUGUUGGCUUAGAAGCAGCCAUCAUUUAAAGAAAGCGUAAUAGCUCACUGGUCGAGUCGGCCUGCGCGGAAGAUGUAACGGGGCUAAACCAUGCACCGAAGCUGCGGCAGCGACGCUGAUGCGUUGUUGGGUAGGGGAGCGUUCUGUAAGCCUGUGAAGGUGUGUCGUGAGGCAUGCUGGAGGUAUCAGAAGUGCGAAUGCUGACAUAAGUAACGAUAAAGCGGGUGAAAAGCCCGCUCGCCGGAAGACCAAGGGUUCCUGUCCAACGUUAAUCGGGGCAGGGUGAGUCGACCCCUAAGGCGAGGCCGAAAGGCGUAGUCGAUGGGAAACGGGUUAAUAUUCCCGUACUUGGUGUUACUGCGAAGGGGGGACGGAGAAGGCUAUGUUGGCCGGGCGACGGUUGUCCCGGUUUAAGCGUGUAGGCUGGUUUUCCAGGCAAAUCCGGAAAAUCAAGGCUGAGGCGUGACGACGAGGCACUACGGUGCUGAAGCAACAAAUGCCCUGCUUCCAGGAAAAGCCUCUAAGCAUCAGGUAACAUCAAAUCGUACCCCAAACCGACACAGGUGGUCAGGUAGAGAAUACCAAGGCGCUUGAGAGAACUCGGGUGAAGGAACUAGGCAAAAUGGUGCCGUAACUUCGGGAGAAGGCACGCUGACACGUAGGUGAAGUGAUUUACUCAUGGAGCUGAAGUCAGUCGAAGAUACCAGCUGGCUGCAACUGUUUAUUAAAAACACAGCACUGUGCAAACACGAAAGUGGACGUAUACGGUGUGACGCCUGCCCGGUGCCGGAAGGUUAAUUGAUGGGGUCAGCGCAAGCGAAGCUCCUGAUCGAAGCCCCGGUAAACGGCGGCCGUAACUAUAACGGUCCUAAGGUAGCGAAAUUCCUUGUCGGGUAAGUUCCGACCUGCACGAAUGGCGUAAUGAUGGCCAGGCUGUCUCCACCCGAGACUCAGUGAAAUUGAACUCGCUGUGAAGAUGCAGUGUACCCGCGGCAAGACGGAAAGACCCCGUGAACCUUUACUAUAGCUUGACACUGAACAUUGAGCCUUGAUGUGUAGGAUAGGUGGGAGGCUUUGAAGUGUGGACGCCAGUCUGCAUGGAGCCGACCUUGAAAUACCACCCUUUAAUGUUUGAUGUUCUAACGUGGACCCGUUACCCGGGUUGCGGACAGUGUCUGGUGGGUAGUUUGACUGGGGCGGUCUCCUCCUAAAGAGUAACGGAGGAGCACGAAGGUUGGCUAAUCCUGGUCGGACAUCAGGAGGUUAGUGCAAUGGCAUAAGCCAGCUUGACUGCGAGCGUGACGGCGCGAGCAGGUGCGAAAGCAGGUCAUAGUGAUCCGGUGGUUCUGAAUGGAAGGGCCAUCGCUCAACGGAUAAAAGGUACUCCGGGGAUAACAGGCUGAUACCGCCCAAGAGUUCAUAUCGACGGCGGUGUUUGGCACCUCGAUGUCGGCUCAUCACAUCCUGGGGCUGAAGUAGGUCCCAAGGGUAUGGCUGUUCGCCAUUUAAAGUGGUACGCGAGCUGGGUUUAGAACGUCGUGAGACAGUUCGGUCCCUAUCUGCCGUGGGCGCUGGAGAACUGAGGGGGGCUGCUCCUAGUACGAGAGGACCGGAGUGGACGCAUCACUGGUGUUCGGGUUGUCAUGCCAAUGGCACUGCCCGGUAGCUAAAUGCGGAAGAGAUAAGUGCUGAAAGCAUCUAAGCACGAAACUUGCCCCGA